ACGCGAAGAACCUUACCUGGUCUUGACAUCCACAGAAGUUUCCAGAGAUGGGAAUGUGCCUUCGGGAACUGUGAGACAGGUGCUGCAUGGCUGUCGUCAGCUCGUGUUGUGAAAUGUUGGGUUAAGUCCCGCAACGAGCGCAACCCUUAUCCUUUGUUGCCAGCGGUCCGGCCGGGAACUCAAAGGAGACUGCCAGUGAUAAACUGGAGGAAGGUGGGGAUGACGUCAAGUCAUCAUGGCCCUUACGACCAGGGCUACACACGUGCUACAAUGGCGCAUACAAAGAGAAGCGACCUCGCGAGACCAAGCGGACCUCAUAAAGUGCGUCGUAGUCCGGAUUGGAGUCUGCAACUCGACUCCAUGAAGUCGGAAUCGCUAGUAAUC
Molecule: ribosomal RNA, 384 nt
Filed under: uncultured Enterobacter sp.
Lineage: Bacteria; Pseudomonadati; Pseudomonadota; Gammaproteobacteria; Enterobacterales; Enterobacteriaceae
Description: bacterial SSU rRNA
Rfam family: Bacterial small subunit ribosomal RNA
Source: RNAcentral